Molecule: non-coding RNA, 130 nt
Organism: Heterocephalus glaber (naked mole-rat)
Lineage: Eukaryota; Metazoa; Chordata; Mammalia; Rodentia; Bathyergidae
Source: Rfam
GUUUAGGGCCAUACCAUCCUAGACACACCUGAUCUCAUCUGAUCUCAGAAACAAAGCAGGAUUGGGACUAGUUAAUACUAAAUGGGAGAAACCAAGAUGUAAAUAGUAAGUAUACUAGUUGCUACUGUCC